UCAGUUUAGAUGAGCUGUCCUGAUUCUGUGCCCCCUCAGCCACCCUCACUGGCAGGACAGUUUGAGAAGCUGAGAAAUUGAAAUGUCCUUAGCUCUGUACAGUGCUGCUCACUGGAGUGAAAGAUGUUCAGCGCAUCAAGAAAGGAUUGUUGAGUCCAUUGCAUUCUGCCCACAGAAUAUUAUAAAUGUGCAACUGAGCAACAAACAUCUGGGUAGUCUGGCUGAAAGCAUUUUGAACAUGAGCAUGUGAAUUCUGUUCUCAGUCUGUACCUCAGAUAGACAUAUGAUGCAUUCCACGGGCCACCAAUUCUCUGGCAUGAGCAGUGGAGGACUUUGAUGUCUUGUUUCUGCUGUACAUUUUUCUUCUCUGCAUUUUCUUAUUCCUAACCUCUACCAACAAGGCUGGAGUGCACAUGAGUUUUUACUUCUGUGAUGGAGUAGGGGGGAAAAAAUGGAAGCUGUGUGUUUUCAGCAUGGGCAUUGGGUGCUUUCCUGAUGAGUAUGUACAGUUUAAUGCUUAUUACAGAAAUCAUCUUGCACGUU
Numida meleagris (helmeted guineafowl) is the source of this 543-nucleotide long non-coding RNA. RefSeq lists it as uncharacterized. The transcript is spliced from 2 exons. NCBI's taxonomy places the organism in Eukaryota, Metazoa, Chordata, Aves, Galliformes, Numididae. The record is from RefSeq and is a predicted model, not a curated record.